UAAAAAAUGCCUUCAAUAAGACAAUUUUAGUUUGACAAACUAAUGUUAUAUUUAAUUAACUAAUUUUUU
RNAcentral lists this transfer RNA (69 nucleotides) under Endochironomus pekanus. RNAcentral describes it as "tRNA-Asp". Lineage: Eukaryota; Metazoa; Arthropoda; Insecta; Diptera; Chironomidae. The record is from RNAcentral.